CGUUUCAUCGUUUAUACUCAGGCUUUUCUCGACCUUUCCAGUUUCACCCAGUGCUUGCAUGACGGAUGUUGAAUUUGAGAUCCAGUUUCUCAUUGUGAAGCCGCCCUGUAGGUGGAUGUACUGGAUAUCCUUCGCUAGCUUUAUUGCCUCUUCUUUUGUGUCGACGCUGACUAACAUAUCGUCAACGUAAUGACCGUUCUUGAUGACUUCAACUGCUUUGGGAAGGCGUUCUGCAAAACGUGCCGCAUUCUCGUUGAUUAUAAAUUGGGCGCAGCUCGGUGAGCAUUUGGCGCCAAACGUCAUUACCGUUACCACGUAUUCGGCAGGCAUAUCCUCCUCAUCGCACCAGAUAAUUCGCUGGCAGUGUUGAUCUCGUUCAUUCAUCGCUACACGUAAAAACAUCUCAGCGAUAUCUCCAGACACUGCAAUCGGUCGCUCCCGAAAUCUGUACAAUACAACCGGUAAUGCUGUUAGAAGAUCGGGCCCUUUCAUGAGAACGGCAUUGAGUGAGACUCCUGCCACAGCUGCCGCCGCAUCCCAGACGAUCCUGACCUUAUUCGGCUUGUUCGGAUUGAACACGGGAAAAAUUGGCAAGUACCAUAUGCGAUCCCCAGACUGUUGCAGUUCCAUUUGUGAAAGCUUGCGAACGUAACCCUUUUGAAUAUAUUCGCCCAUCUUCGCUUUGAGUGUGUCAGCUAAGCUUGAAUCGCGUCCCAUCCUCUGCAUCAAACAUUUAUGUCGGCGUAGUGCCAUCGGUCUGCUGUCGGGAAAUCGAAUAUCGUCGAAUUUCCACAGUAGCCCUGUUCGAUACCUUCCAUUCUCGAAUCUUGUCACUGAUCGCAUAAGCUCGGUUGAACGUGCAUCCUCUGUAGACAGUAACAUCUUUUCUGGUUUGUAAAUUCCCAAAUUUUCAAGAGCGAAGUGAGCCUUAACCAUGGAAUUUAAUUCGGCAUCAUUUUCGGUUGAAUGAUGACACAUAUGAAAACUGUGUGGUGCAAUGUUUGAAGACGAUUUAUUUCCCGUGGAGCACAUUCCGUACACCAUCCAUCCUAAUCGCGUCUUGGCUGCUACAGGCUCGUGUACUGCACCUUCACGACAUUUCAAUGGAUUCACUACGCGUAUAUUGUUCAUGCCGAUAAGGAUACGUGGUUGAAUGUUUUCAUACGAUUCAACAGGUAUUCCUUGCAGAUGUGCAUGCUGCGAGGCUAACGUUGCAAACGAUAGAGACUGGAAAGGAAGCUUUAGCUCCUUCACGGUGUAAACAUCAGUCAGUCGAUGCUUUAUGUUACCGUUUCCUAUUUUAGAAAUAUCAAGCGAGACCCUCUUGGCCGAAUUUUCAUAACGGCAGGUGUCUGCGGUCCAACGUAAGCAAAGCGGACGCUUUUCUCCCUCUAGACACAACUCUGAAGCCAGUCCUUCUUCUAGUAGCGUCAACGAUGAUCCACAAUCGAGAAAGGCGAACGUAUCAAUAUGUAUGUCUUUAUUAUAAAGCGUCACCGGAACGUACUGAAACAGGACCGAAUUGCAGUUGCUUCUGUGAGUGUUGCAAACAUACUCGGUGGCGUCAUGCUUACUGUCACCACUAGAUUGCUGCCUCCGACCCGAUUCAGUGGAAGUGGGAUUGAAGGAGUGCUUAUCCUUUGCAUCGUUGUGCAGCAACCGAUGAUGCUUAAACGUACAUCCUUUUUUACCGCAUACUUUAGCGGAUUUACACGGGCCCUGGUGCUUACCAAGGCAGCAGCGGCACAACUUAUGUUCGCGGAGCGCAUUCCAUCGAGAUGGAUGAUCGAGUACCAGAAACUGCUUGCAAUUUUCCACCGCAUCGCAUUUUCCUCGACAAACGGAACAUCCACUAAAACUGGGACCUCCCGUAAAUGUAUUUCGCUGAUUUGUCAGCAACAUUUUGACCUUGUGGAAUAGUUACCGUACUUGCUGCCUCAGCAAGCGUGUAGAGCCAUGCACUAAAUUCGGCAAGGGAAGCUUGGCGUAAACCUUGGCGAUGUGUUGCCCAGUUAAGCCGAAUCAUGGGUGGUUGCAAUUCUGAAGUGUUGCUACCAUAUUCCUAACGGCAAUUGCGAAGUCAACUAAAGUACAGAGUUUAUCUGCUCUCGGUGCAGGCAAUAACUGGACCUUCUGGAUAAGAGAAUGAACUAUAACCUCUGGUCGACCGAAAAGCAUUUUUAGCGUCGCUAACACACUUUCCAGAUUUCUCGGAUACAACAACUGACAUCUGACUGCGUCCAAUGCCUUGCCCUUGAGGCAUUUUUGCAGCCGCAUCAUAUUUUCUUCUAUCGUAUAGCCACAGAGACGCGUCGUACUUUCGAAAGCAGCAAUAAAUAACGGCCACUGUUCUGGGUCGCCGUUAUAUUCCGGGAGGUCCUUUGAGACGGCUUGACGAGCAGCUAUCUGGCUUCUAUUAAGUAAAGUGGAUUCAUUCCCAACAUUAGUAGCAAGCGACGGGUCAAGCGGACGCGUGUAUGGAACGUUUGCACGAGACGACACUAG
Molecule: long non-coding RNA, 2505 nt
Organism: Wyeomyia smithii (pitcher-plant mosquito)
Lineage: Eukaryota; Metazoa; Arthropoda; Insecta; Diptera; Culicidae
Exons: 3
Source: RefSeq, a predicted model, not a curated record